This 286-nucleotide long non-coding RNA is filed under the name Carica papaya (papaya). RNAcentral describes it as "long non-coding RNA (CPAP_LNC013244)". The record is from RNAcentral. Lineage: Eukaryota; Viridiplantae; Streptophyta; Magnoliopsida; Brassicales; Caricaceae.
GUUACAUAUCAUAGGGAUUAUAUAAACUGUUGGAUCAAUGUAAGUGUUCCUAUUCAUCAAACAAAGUGCAUGUACAUAAAAUUUUUCUUUUUUAAAGUUUAAACAUCUACAAGACGAGUUUUCAUUUUUUUUUAGGUGAGCGAAUAGUUACAACUUUACUUUAACAGUUAAUAAUUACUCUAUAUUUCUCGAACUAAUCCAUACUUAGGUUAUGUCAAAUCUUGAGAAAUCUAGGAGUAUAGGAUCUACAAAUAGCUUCGUUUCUAAGGCUUUUAUUUUAUAGUUU